RNAcentral lists this ribosomal RNA (789 nucleotides) under uncultured organism. Its description in RNAcentral is "bacterial SSU rRNA". It matches the Rfam family "Bacterial small subunit ribosomal RNA", at positions 53 to 837 of the family's 1533-position model. The record is from RNAcentral.
ACAUACAAGUCGAGGGGUAACAGGUCACUUCGGUGAUGCUGACGACCGGCGCACGGGUGAGUAACGCGUAUGGAACCUACCUGAAACAGGGGGAUAGCUUCCGGAAACGGGGAUUAAUACCGCAUACGAUUCAUUUGUGGCCUCACAAAUGGAUAAAAGCUACGGCGGUUUCAGAUGGCCAUGCGUACCAUUAGUUAGUUGGUGAGGUAAAGGCUCACCAAGGCGAUGAUGGUUAGGGGUCCUGAGAGGGUAGUCCCCCACACUGGUACUGAGACACGGACCAGACUCCUACGGGAGGCAGCAGUGAGGAAUAUUGGUCAAUGGGCGCUAGCCUGAACCAGCCAUGCCGCGUGCAGGAAGACGGCCCUACGGGUUGUAAACUGCUUUUCUGCAGGAAGAAUAUAUAGUCUUAGGGGUAUAUUGACGGUACUGCAGGAAUAAGCAUCGGCUAACUCCGUGCCAGCAGCCGCGGUAAUACGGAGGAUGCAAGCGUUAUCCGGAUUCAUUGGGUUUAAAGGGUGCGCAGGCUGUAAGGCAAGUCAGUGGUGAAAGCCCUGGGCUUAACUCAGGGAUUGCCAUUGAAACUGUUUUACUAGAGUGUAGUAGAGGACGGCGGAAUGAGUUGUGUAGCGGUGAAAUGCAUAGAUAUAACUCAGAACACCUAUUGCGUAGGCAGCUGUCUAUACUACAACUGACGCUGAGGCACGAAAGCGUGGGGAGCGAACAGGAUUAGAUACCCUGGUAGUCCACGCUGUAAACGAUGAUCACUCGUUGUUGGCUACUUAGNNU